AGUCGUAACAAGGUAUCCGUAGGUGAACCUGCGGAUGGAUCAUUACCAAAGAUUUCAAAAUCUACGUGCUGUGAACUGUUUUGAACAACCGUCAGUCAGUUUGUUUGGUGACCGCUAGAAAACGCGCUAGCCCGACGGCUGACUGUACACCAUUACUUAACGUAAUAUAGCCAUUUCCCAACCUGAAGUCUUUCUUAAAGAAACUAAGAUAACUUUUAGCAACGGAUCUCUUGGCUCUC
RNAcentral lists this unclassified non-coding RNA (239 nucleotides) under fungal sp. Its description in RNAcentral is "partial internal transcribed spacer region". The stretch from base 1 to 45 matches the Rfam family "Eukaryotic small subunit ribosomal RNA", at positions 1787 to 1831 of the family's 1831-position model. The record is from RNAcentral. Lineage: Eukaryota; Fungi.